AUUAGUAGCCACACCACCCUGGCCGUGCACCAUCUCAGAAGCUAAGCAAGACUGAACCUGGCUAGUAUUGGGAUAGGGGACCAUCUGGGAAUAUCAUGUGCCAUGGCUA
Molecule: ribosomal RNA, 109 nt
Filed under: Monopterus albus (swamp eel)
Lineage: Eukaryota; Metazoa; Chordata; Actinopteri; Synbranchiformes; Synbranchidae
Source: RNAcentral